AUACGAAGGGUGCAAGCGUUACUCGGAAUUACUGGGCGUAAAGCGUGCGUAGGUGGUUGUUUAAGUCUGUCGUGAAAGCCCUGGGCUCGACCUGGGAAUGGCGAUGGAAACUGGGCGACUAGAGUGUGGCAGAGGGUAGUGGAAUUCCUGGUGUAGCAGUGAAAUGCGUAGAGAUCAGGAGGAACAUCCGUGGCGAAGGCGACUGCCUGGGCCAACACUGACACUGAGGCACGAAAGCGUGGGGAGCAAACAGGAUUAGAUACCCUGGUAGUCCACGCCCUAAACGAUGCGAACUGGAUGUUGGGUGCAAUUUGGCACGCAGUAUCGAAGCUAACGCGUUAAGUUCGCCGCCUGGGGAGUACGGUCGCAAGACUGAAACUCAAAUGAAUUGACGGGG
This 397-nucleotide ribosomal RNA is filed under the name uncultured bacterium. Its description in RNAcentral is "partial 16S ribosomal RNA". It matches the Rfam family "Bacterial small subunit ribosomal RNA", at positions 523 to 918 of the family's 1533-position model. The record is from RNAcentral.